AUGCAACAUGUAGCAGCGGGCAGUACUGGCAGCCGGGAUGUUUCCAACCUCUCCUGUCCCUCUUCUGAUGUGGAGGAUGGCGGCUUGGCACGGGACGCGACAGUGCGGCCACCAACACCCUGCAUCCUCCACCGGUGUCUCAUGUACGUGCCCCUAGCCCCCUUCCUCCUACUAUCUUCACUGCCUCUGCUGCAGUCGAUGGAUGUCCACAUGCCAGACAACGGGCGCAGCAGCGACCAUGGUCAGACCCGCGACUCCCGCCCCACCAAUCGUAGACACUUCUUCUUGUGGCUUACUGCUUCCCCUGCAGGUGGAGCUCAAGUGCUCAACGUGGAGGAGCUCGCCAUGGGCUAA
Molecule: ribosomal RNA, 354 nt
Filed under: Triticum aestivum (bread wheat)
Lineage: Eukaryota; Viridiplantae; Streptophyta; Magnoliopsida; Poales; Poaceae
Description: partial small subunit ribosomal RNA
Source: RNAcentral